This 10092-nucleotide long non-coding RNA is filed under the name Triticum aestivum (bread wheat). RNAcentral describes it as "long non-coding RNA (TAES_LNC019808)". Lineage: Eukaryota; Viridiplantae; Streptophyta; Magnoliopsida; Poales; Poaceae. The record is from RNAcentral.
AUAUCUCAGUCAUGGCAGUACAUCAAGCAGGCAUCAAUAUGACAUCCACCAUGAUAUCUUUUAUUGGAGCAACGAAAGAAAAUACACACAAGCACAUAAACAAACUGACACACUGGUUUGGAUACUCUCAAUGGGAUCCUGUUUUAUUGAACACGAUGGUGAGACAUAACUUUGACCUGUGAAAUCUAAGACCAAGCAUAUGCAUUAUUAGUCAUCAAGGGAUGCCAAGAGAGUAUCCCCCUUACAGAAACUGUCACAAGCAACACCGCAGCGUUUCACAUAGAGUUUCAUCUCUUCAGUACUGUUGUCAGCUGGUGCCAAAAUAGGAUAGUAUGCGUCAAGAACUAACUUUUCAAUUAGUUUGCAUGUACAAAUGAAAUAUAAAUAUACUCAGAUGGAUUUUAUUUACCUGUGUUGAUCAUGUUGUCACACACGGAAGACCUACAUCCCAAGCUGCAAUACUCAAUGGCGUUUGGUUCAUCUGCCAAAACGAAGUAGAUCUGAGAUAAACAAUUCCUCCGUUACAAUAUGUCGAUGUUUUGUGUAUGGGAUGGCCUCUAUCAUUCAUUCUUUAUUAGCUGUUUUCACAACAAUUUUUGGUAGAUUUUUUCUAGUAUAAUGAAAAAUCCUUCAUGUCAAAUCUUAUCAUACAAAUAUGAACUAACAAAUUCAGAAUAGUUUAUUGUAUUAAUAGCUAAACUUGGAAUUUUUUUUAGUUUGACAUUACACUUUUUUAGGAUCACAUCUACUUUGAAAAGGAGAUAGUAUAUAAAUUAGAAGUAGCGAGUUGUCUGUCUUUACCGGAGCUGCGUACAGAGGCCAGGCCCGCGGGGAGUCGACAAGCACAGAAGUCUGCGCACUGGAACACUGUACUAGGACCGAGAAGGCAAGAGUUGAAGCAGGCCACUUUGAAGGGGUUUGCGCCGCAGUCCACGCCCUCUACUUGCACCUGCUCCAGGACCAGCCCCAGCACCAGUAGGCACACGAUCGCACUCUCCAGACCCUUUUGGCCUCCUCCCAUGGCUAUGGUUGCCGGGCUCUCUUGCAGAAGGCACAAGUAUUAAUGGGGGCUUCUGGUUGAAGGACAGAUGAGACUAGAGUGAGUUCCAUGGCUCCUGGUAGGGAUUUUUAUACUAGGAGAUGAUGGUCGUGGGAGUGCCUAGAUGAGUACUGGUUGUUGCACGUGAAACCAAAGCACACCGGGGCCAUAGUGUCUUUUCUUCUCCCACACGGGGCAAAAAGUUGGAUCGAUGGCGCGCGGACAAAGUUGGCCGGAGCCGAAGACGGUGACAAUGCUGUGACCUGCGCGAAGCUAUCCAGUAGGAUGUUACGUGCAAGCCGGCGCUUUUUUUUAACUGCAUUUCUAUAAAAAAAUAUACGAUGAAAUACAUUUUUGACGUGAGGUACACAAACAAAAUAAAGUACAGUUUUGCUAAAGCACAUCUAGAUAUGCUCUAAGUAUUGCACAUCUAAAUCCUAUAUCAUUGAUAUUAUUCUAAGAUUCGUGCAAGCAUUUUUUUUCAAUAUUUUUUCUUUUUCUUUCUAGUUUGAUUGAGUCACUUAGAUGUGCAAUAACUACGGAAUGUAGAGUAUUUUAUGGCAUAAGAACAUUUUGUUUAGAUUUUUUUUUUGAAACUUUAAAAUCCGAUUUCGCUCUAGCAGGUCCUAUUUUGUCCCAGCAUGCAACUAUAUAUGGGGCGGGGUUUGGACAAAAUACAUUUUUUUUUGUCAAAAUGACUUGUGUGCCUGGGAAUAGAGGGGAAGUGCCGUAUUAUAUGCCGCCGAAAUACCUUUUUUUUUGUUGGGAACGAUACGUGCAUGCCAGAAAAACAUCUCUCUGCUGUACACAUGUGCAUGCCUUUGAGGUUUGAGCUGGCGAUGUAUAUCAAACAACGUGUGCCCAAUGUCACGUUGGUUUUUCGUGUGCAAGAUUUGUAGAUUGCUGAUCACGCUUGGCGCGGGAAGUUUUUCGUGUGCAGAUACAUGGCUUUAUAUGACAGGUAAACUAGAGCCUUGUCUUUCCCCCUAUACUACUCCUAUCUUUAACUUUAUAAGAGAAAAAUAUAUUUUUCGUCUUUUAACUCUUGGCAAAAUCUAGAUUUAGUCCUUUAACUUUAAAACCAAACAAGUUGCAUUCUAAACUUUUAAAACCGGUAAUACUAUCUUUUACGAAGAACAAUCCUACCUUGUUUACACGUCCACUAAAUGCACCAUUGUAAAUUACUUUGACCGGUUUAAAUGAAAAACAAGGCUGAAAACCAACAUGAGCCAACACCGACACCAACACAAACAUGCCAACACCAUCUAACAUGACCACAAUCCAGAGCGAUAGUAAGCAAGAUCUUCGAAGAUGACUUCAAGAAGAAAAAACAAUGCCUAAAGACGCCGCUGUCACCGGCAUCGACCCCCGUCAAUCAAUAAGCUUUCGCAUAGACCCACACAUGACCGCCCCACCAAACAUUGGGAUAGAUCAAUCCUAGCCAUUAGCCUCCGAUGCCAGUCCUCGCCGACCAGCCACAGAUCAGUGUGAAAAAGUACUCUUCGACAAUAUCUCCAAGAGGAGGAGGACGCCCAUGGGCGCCAACAUCACCGGCAACGACCCCCGACUGAGAACAAGGCUUUCGCCCAGAGUCUUAUGCCUCGCCCCCUCUGAUCCAAGGUGUUGGAAAUAUUGGCAAUUUACCAUAUGAUUUUAUUAACGGAAAUACUAGAUAAAGCAUGACUAAAGUAACAGAGAUAAAGCAAGUCAUGCGAUCUGACAAAGAGAAGGUAGAUAACAUCUGCAAAUAUAAACUAGAACCGAACAUCUCUAGAGUAGACAGUAGACCAAGUAGCAUAUAUGAAGUAGAACCUAUCAUGUGUAGGGCAAGGACUGGAACAAGGAACUGUGGCAGAACCUCUAACAGGAAAAACAAGAACACGUACGGGACAGCAGCUGCAACAGUAGCACUGGACUUGGGGUCGGUGUCCUCGGUAGCCAUGUCGUGGAGGAGGUUGUCAACGUCGGGGAAGUAGUCGUCGUCGGGGACGUAGUCGUCGGAGUCUGGGGUGUCCGUGACGAAGAAGUCAGUAGUCGCGCAGAGCGCUCCCCAAAAACCUUAUCACCCUUCUCCCGUACAGGACUCAAAGAGGUGCGGUUUCGGAGGCCUACUGUCCCGACCUGCGGUGCACGCCGCAAGCGGGAUGAGGAAGAUCGUAGCAGCAGCGCAGUGUUCAGGAACCGGUGGCGAGAGGAAGAAUGAGUUUUGGUACAUCUCUCUGAGAGGAGCGACCUUCCUUUUAUAGGCGCAAGAGAAGGAGGCGAGAGGCUGCGUUGGGAGCUGAAGGGAACGAGGGAGAUGAAACGAACAGAUAGCAGCCGAAGGGUGCAGCAUUCGUAUUCAAUAUCCACUACAGCAAAAACUUUCCAGCUCCCGAGUGACCUUUCGUAUACCCGUAGUGCGUGGAAAAAAUUUAGACAUCGGCUAAUUCCCGCAACCCGCGGCGUGACGAGGCGUGGCGGGGCGGGCGGCGGAGGAGGAGCGCGCGUGGAUGUCCCUCUUGUUCUCAUGCUCAUACAAAUGGGGAAAGAACCUCCCUUAUAAAGAGGUCCAACUCCCUCUAAACUGGCAAUGUGGGACUAAACUUUAGUAGUGUCCCUUGCCUUGCACGAAUGGGCUAAGUGGGCCUCUAGGAUUUAUUAGGAAUUUCUGAAAUUGUUAUUGGGCUAGGCCCAUAAAUAGAUAAAAUUCCAGCAAUCCCCCAAGAUCCUAGAGCCACAUAGAAUUUGCCUUUAGUUCCAAAACACUGUUUUAUAUACCGGUACUGCAGUGGAGACUGUUAAGUUGAACUUCCACCUAGAACUCUAUGCUACACUAGUAAGCAACUUGAACAGUGGACUGGGCCUUGAACUACAAGUUUUCUGCGAAUCUAGCUUCACAUAAAGCCUUGACCGAUACGUGGCUACCGUGGGUCUUCCCGCGGGUGGAGCUUAUGCGUCAUACUCCGAGACCUUUCAUGAGUUUACUAGAGAGAACCCUACUCUCAUAGAUUGCGACGUUUAACAAUCAGACUCAUAUAGGUGUGUUCUUCAAAAGAUGUUCUGCAGGACAACAUCUCUGCUUAAAUGAGCCACUUAGAACACAUUAAGAUAUACAUCAACCUGCCAUACAGUUUUAGGAGAGUAUUGCAUCUUCAUGGAGUGGUAUUGUUAAUAGUAAGGAUACUCUCCUCUCAGUUGAUCAACAGCUUGUCUUCCACAUCUAAUUCACGGGAUCUCCGAUCACAAAGAAUAGGUUACCACUGUGAACAACUCAUAUUGUGGGCUCAUACCCAUCUCCCUCGAUGCAUUAUCUAUCACAUUACGUGAUAGACCCUUAGUAAAAGGAUCUGCCAGAUUUUUAGACUUUUGGAUAUAAUCCAAUGCAAUAACUCCGGAGUUUCUCAUUUUCCUGACAGACUUUAACCUUCUCUGAACGUGUCUUGAUGACUUCAUGUUAUCCUUUGAGCUGCUCACUUUUGUGAUCACAGUUUGAUUGUCGCAGUUCAUAAGGAUACCCGGUACAGGUUUCUCAACAGCCGGCAAGUCAUUCAAGAGCCGGCGAAGCCAAUCUGCUUCGACCGUAGUUGUUUCUAGUGUUGUGAGUUCUGCUUCCAUUGUUGACCUCGUUAAGAUGGUCUGCUUGCAAGACUUCCAAGAAACAGCGCCACCUCCAUGAGUGAAUACAUAACCGCUCGUGGCCUUUAUCUCAUCAGCAUCUGAGAUCCAGUUUGAGUCACUAUACCCUUCAAGCACCUUUGGGUGCCCAGUGUAGUGAAUUCCAUAAUUCGCAGUGCCUUUCAAAUAAUGCAAAACUCUCUCUAGAGCUUUCCAAUGCACAUCUCCUGGUUUUGAGACAAACCGACUCAGUUUGCUAACAGCAAAAGAGAUGUCAGGUCUUGUAGCACUGGCUAAGUACAUAAGCGAGCCAAUAAUCUGAGAAUAUUUCAAUUGAUCUCUAGCAAUUCUUCGAUUCUUUCGAAGUAACACACUCGCAUCAUAUGGUGUUGGAGAGGGCUUGCAGUCACUAUAGCCAAAGCGACUCAAGAUAUUUUCCACAUAGUGAGACUGAAGCAAUGUAAUCCCACCAUCAUCGUCUCUCAACAACUUGAUGUUCAAAAUGACAUCAGCCACUCCUAAAUCCUUCAGCUCAAAACAACGAGAUAGGAAAUCCUUGACCUCCUUAAUAACAUUUAGAUUUGUUCCAAAAAUCAGUAUGUCAUCAACAUACAAGCAAAGAAUAACUCCUUCGCCCCCACCAUGGCGAUAAUACACACAUUUAUCAGCUUCGUUUACAACGAAGCCUGCAGCGGUUAAAGUUCUUUCAAACUUCUCAUGCCACUGUUUGGGUGCUUGCUUGAGUCCAUACAAAGACUUCAGCAACUUGCAAACUUUUCCUUCCUGACCAUCUAGUACAAACCCAUCUGGUUGUUCCAUAUAAAUUUCCUCAUCCAACUCUCCAUUUAGGAAAGCAGUCUUAACAUCCAUUUGAUGAACGAGAAGACCAUGUGAGGCAGCUAGUGAAAGUAGAACUCGAAUAGUGGUCAGUCAAGCCACAGGUGAGUAAGUAUCAAAGAAGUCUUCACCUUCCUUUUGGUUAUAACCCUUAGCCACGAGCCGAGCCUUGUACUUUUCAAUAGUACCAUCAGGCCUAAGCUUCUUCUUGAAUACCCAUUUGCAUCCUAUAGGUUUGCACCCAUAAGGACGAUCAGUUAUCUCCCAAGUUUCAUUCGCCAAGAUGGAAUCCAUCUCGCUACGAACCGCUUCCUUCCAGUAGUCAGCAUCUUCAGAUGCAUAGGCCUCUGAAAUAGAACUGGGAGUGUCAUCUAUGAGAUACACAAGAAAAUCAUCACCAAAGGACUUUGCAAUCCUCUGUCUCUUGCUCCUAGUAGGAACUUCAUUGUUCUCCUCCACAGAGUUUUCAAAGUGUUCCAUCGAAAUGGCAGGUUCGGUAAUUGUAACUAGUUCCUGAUUCGAUGAACUAGGCAUCUCCUGAUUAGACGAGGUAGACAUAUCCUUCAUGGGAAAGAUAUCUUCAAAGAAAGUCGCAUCAUUCGACUCCAUGAUCGUACCGACAUGCAUGUCAGGUACCUCAGAUUUUACAACCAAGAAUCUAUAGCCAAUGCUAUGAAAAGCAUAUCCCAGGAAAACACAAUCCACAGUCUUUGGUCCAAGCUUCCGCUUCUUUGGAAUUGGAACAUUGACUUUCGCCAAACAACCCCAUGUUCGCAGAUAAGAGAGUUUUAACCUUUUCUUCUCCCAUUCCUCGAAUGGAGUUAUCUCUUUGUUUAGGACAAUGACAUGCCGUCAAUAUCGCCUCCCCCCACCAUGCCUUGGAGAGACCCGAUGUGUCUAACAUGGCGUUAACCAAAUCAGUUAGAGUACGGUUCUUUCUUUCGGCCACCCCAUUUGACUGAGGUGAGUAGGGAGGCGUCCUCUCAUGGAUUAUACCAUGUUCCGCACAAAAAGCAUCAAAUUCAUUGGAAAAAUACUCUCCACCACGGUCGGACCUAAGCCUCUUGAUUUUUUGAUCAAGUUGGUUUUCCACUUCAGCUUUAUAGAUCUUGAAAAAGUUCAAAGCCUCAUCCUUAGAUUUCAGAAGAUACACACGGCAAUAUCUAGUGGAGUCGUCAAUUAAUGUCAUGAAAUAUUUCUUUCCACCUUUUGUCAAAACACCAUUCAUUUCACAUAGAUCUGAAUGUAUGAGCUCGAGUGGUGCAAGAUUUCUCGUUUCCGCAGUCGUGUGAGACUUACGAGGUUGCUUAGCUUGCACACACACUUGACACUUAGAUCCCUUGACAGUGGUGAAACUAGGGAUUAAGUUCAACUUCGCUAGUCGCGACAUGCAACCAAAGUUAACACGACAAAGACGUGAAUGCCACACAUUUGAUUCACUAUUGUUGCAAAUAUUUAACAACUUUAUUGCAAACGUCUGAUAAGGCUAAACGAAACAGGCCUCCUGACUCAUAGCCUUUACCAACGAAGGUUCCAUACUUGGAUAUUACAAAUUUAUUCGACUCAAAGACAAGCUUGUAGCCAUCUCUACACAGAAAAGAUCCGCUAACAAAAUUUUUAUUGACGGAGGGGACAUAAUGCACGUUCUUCAGCCGCACGAUCUUCCCCGAAGUAAACUUCAGAUCGACCGUGCCAACACCACGAACAGAAGCACUUGAACCGUUGCCCAUCAACACGGUUGAAGUCCCUGCGGUCUGAUAAGACGAAAACAUGGAAAUAUCACCGCAUACAUGCACAUUAGCACCCGUGUCAAUCAACCAAUCAGGAGAAUGACAUACUGAAAGAAUAGUGGGAAAUAUACCAUACCCAGCAUCCUUUAUGUCAGUGUCUCCAAUGACAACAUUAGCGGUCUUGCCGCCUUUCCCAGGAUGACGCUUGUCAUAGCGAUUAGGGCAACUAGGAGCCCAAUGAUCAGGAUCCCCACACACAUGACAAGCACCUUUCUUCUUGUCAUUCUUCUUCUUGAAGUUCGUGUGUUGCAUAGCCUUGUUCUUCCCAUCAAACUUUGCUUUACCAUCAAACUUGCCCUUGUUCUUGAACUUGUGGGGCUGGAAGUUCUUCUUCUGUACCAGAUUGGCACUAGAUCCUCCCUCAAUACCUCGAGCACGUGUGUCCUUUGCUCUCGCCUUUUCUUCCACAUCAAGAGUGCCAAUGAGAUCCGGAACGGAAAACCCCUGCCUCUUAUGCUUCAGUAAGGUAGCAAAGUUCCUCCAUGAAGGAGGAAGCUUAUUGAUGAUACCUCCGGCAACAAACUUGUCCGGUAGCAUACAACUGAAGUGCUCAAGUUCUCUAGCAAAUGACUGUAUCUCAUGAGCUUGCUCAACCACGGAGCGCUCUUCAGUCAUCCUGUAACCAUAGAAUUGCUCCAUGAUGUACAGCUCAGUGCCAGCAUCCGAGACCCCAAACUUGGCCUCAAGUGCAUCCCACAUAUCUUUUCCAUUAUCAAUUGACGCAUAAGCAUCAAUUAUGUUCUCACCAAGAACACUCAAGAAAGCAGCCUUAAACAGAGUAUCCAUUUUCUAAAAAGCUUGUGCCUGUUGAGCAUCAAGAUCUCCUUCAGGUUUGCCAAGAAUGGUUUGAAACCAUAAGACUGCUCUCACGCGCCACCUCUUAUAGUGGAUACCCUCAAACAUAGGAGGUCUCAUGGAAGCAGCAAAACCACUUGGUGUAAAUUGCCUAUAAUAAGGUUUUUGGAUUGUUGGAAAUAUUGGCAAUUUACCAUAUGAUUUUAUUAACGGAAAUACUAGAUAAAGCAUGACUAAAGUAACAGAGAUAAAGCAAGUCAUGCGAUCUGACAAAGAGAAGGUAGAUAACAUCUGCAAAUAUAAACUAGAACCGAACAUCUCUAGAGUAGACAGUAGACCAAGUAGCAUAUAUGAAGUAGAACCUAUCAUGUGUAGGGCAAGGACUAGAACAAGGAACUGUGGCAGAACCUCUAACAGGAAAAACAAGAACACGUACGGGACGGCAGCUGCAACAGUAGCACUAGACUUGGGGUCGGUGUCCUCGGUAGCCAUGUCGUGGAGGAGGUUGUCGACGUCGGGGAAGUAGUCGUCGGAGUCCGGGGUGUCCGUGACGAAGAAGUCAGUAGUCGCGCAGAGCGCUCCCCAAAAACCUUAUCAUCCUUCUCCCGUACAGGACUCAAAGAGGUGCGGUUUGGGAGGCCUACUGUCCCGACCUGCGGUGCAUGCCGCAAGCCGGGAUUAGGAAGAUCAUAGCAGCAGCACAGUGUUCAGGAACCGGUGGCGAGAGGAAGAAUGAGUUUGGUACAUCUCUCUGAGAGGAGCGACCUCCCUUUUAUAGGCGCAAGAGAAGGAGGCGAGAGGCUGCGUCGGGAGCUGAAGGGGACGAGGGAGAUGAAACGAACAGAUAGCAGCCGAAGGGUGCAGCAUUCGUAUUCAAUAUCCACUACAGCAAAAACUUUUCAGCUCCCGAGUGACCUUUCGUAUACCCUAGUGCGUGGCAAAAAUUUAGACAUUGGCUCAUUCCCGCAACCCGUGGCGAGGCGUGGCGGGCGACGGAGGAGGAGCGCGCGUGGAUGUCCCUCUUGUUCUCAUACUCAUACAAAUGGGGAAAGAACCUCCCUCAUAAAGAGGUCCAACUCCCUCUAAACUGGCAAUGUGGGGCUAAACUUUAGUAGUGUCCCUUGCCUUGCACGAAUGGGCUAAAUGGGCCUUUAGGAUUUAUUAGGAAUUUCUGAAAUUAUUACUGGGCUAGGCCCAUAAAUAGAUAAAAUUCCAGCAAGGUAGGGGCCAGGCCCCUGCAAACAUCAACAUCGACGAACCAAACCAGAAGGAAAAAAGAAACGCCCCGGCCUCCACAACACCAUGAAGGGCUGCCUGCAUAGGUGUUGACACCACCACCACCACUACUACGAGGACUCUUGAAGCCACAAUGCAGCAACCGCCUCGCAUCCGCGCUGUCGACGGAGGCCAACCUCGCCGCCAACUAACGCUCUAGUCUGCUGCCCGUGCAACCGCGACCAAAGCACGCCAACGACGCCUACCAACACCACCACUGUGCUACCAUUCGCCACGCGCCGCACUGCCACACCCAUCGCCGUCCCGUAGAGGGAAAAGUGCAGCUGUGCCGUCACCGACCCCAAGAGGUCACCUCCAAAGACGGAGCAGCAGAUCGGGCGCCGCCCCGAUCUGAGCCCUUCGAGCCGGCGCACGAGCAACCACCGCCGCGCAGCACUGGCGCCUCCCAGACGGAGUUCAUAUCCACAGGCAAAUGAUACAACAUAUACCAUUAUAUCUCAGUCAUGGUAGUACAUCAGGGCAGCAACAUGGCAUCCAUCAUGAUGGCUUUUAUUUCGAACAAGGAAUGGAAAUACACACACAUAAAACAGAGUGACACACUGGUUUGGAUACUCUCGAUGGGAUCCAAUUUUAUUGAACGCAAAGGUGAGACACGACCUUGCCCUGUGAAAUCUCAGACCAUGGAUACGCAUCAUUACGCAUCAAGGGAAGUGAGGCCAGCAUCACCGUUACAGAAAUUGACACAAGCAUCGCCACAAUUUUCCACAUAGAGUUUCAUCUCUUCAUCGUCAGCAGCUG